CUCAGGUGUGACUUUCUUGGAUCUUCCUCACUUGCCUCAGUAGCUGAUAUUAAACGUCCUGGGACUGCUUGAGCAUCUUUGUCUUUCCGGCUCUCACUGCAGCGCAUUACUCACGGGAGCGUCACCUUCUAUAACGUAACACCCGCCCCUCCUCUGCUCUUCUAUCAGACUCCCUUCCUCCUCCGCCAGCCCCGGCACCACAGUGAAAUGGGAUGGCUGCGGUUUAUGGUUCACAUUUCAACCUGGAUGGUGGGAGUUUCCAUGUUAUGGUCAUAGCUGCAAAUCUCUGCCACUCUCAGUGCUGACUGCUAACUGUUCAGGUGCACAUGCAGAGAAGGAAGUCUCUGCCACUCUCAGUGCUGACCGCUACCUGUUCAGCACCUCUGCAUGGCAAAGGAAGAAAGGAAGGAAGGAAAGAAGACAGGAAGGAAAGAAGGAAGGUGGAGAAGAUUUUAGAAGCUAGGUCUGCCGAGAGCAGCUGGACUGAGCGAUCGACAGAGGACCUCAUGCCACAUGUGCUGAUCACAGUAGAACCUGUGAAUUCGAUUUUAUUAAGAAUGUUGAUGGACAUGACCAAUACAUUAGAAAUAUACAAAUAUCUCACCACAGCAGCGCUUUCUGUGAUUUUCACUCUAAGACUACAACAGUGUGAAAGACAGUGCACAAGAGUCAUCUAGCAUUGUGCUGCCUCUUCCAGAACACAAAGAUAACAAGGAAGCAGCAGGGAACAGAGGAGCCUCCAUCUGCAAGGAUGAAUGUGAUAAUGGUGGGGUGGCUCCUACCUGCUUUACGUCCUCAUAACGGUUCAGAUGGAUCGCAUCUCUGGAUUUCUGCAUCUUGUAGCCAGCCACGAGGCAUGGCCACACACUUUUGGGUAGCUGAAGCUAAAGCACUUAUUUAGGUGGUUGACUAAUUGUGCCUUUAUGUUGCCUUCUGGAUAGAAGGAGGAAGAAGAGGAGGAGGAAGGAACCUUUAUGCCCAUUGUUUUUUACUAGGCUGCC
RNAcentral lists this long non-coding RNA (1001 nucleotides) under Equus asinus (donkey). RNAcentral's name for it is "lncRNA (ENSEASG00005028698.1)". The record is from RNAcentral. Lineage: Eukaryota; Metazoa; Chordata; Mammalia; Perissodactyla; Equidae.